CGUAGGGUCCGAGCGUUGUCCGGAAUUAUUGGGCGUAAAGGGCUCGUAGGCGGUUAGUCGCGUCGGGAGUGAAAACUCAGGGCUCAACCCUGAGCGUGCUUCCGAUACGGGCUGACUAGAGGUAUGCAGGGGAGAACGGAAUUCCUGGUGUAGCGGUGGAAUGCGCAGAUAUCAGGAGGAACACCGGUGGCGAAGGCGGUUCUCUGGGCAUUACCUGACGCUGAGGAGCGAAAGCAUGGGGAGCGAACAGGAUUAGAUACCCUGGUAGUCCAUGCCGUAAACGUUGGGCGCUAGGUGUGGGGACCUUCCACGGUCUCCGUGCCGCAGCUAACGCAUUAAGCGCCCCGCCUGGGGAGUACGGCCGCAAGGCUA
RNAcentral lists this ribosomal RNA (372 nucleotides) under uncultured organism. RNAcentral describes it as "bacterial SSU rRNA". It matches the Rfam family "Bacterial small subunit ribosomal RNA", at positions 526 to 896 of the family's 1533-position model. The record is from RNAcentral.